AGUGAACGCUGGCGGUAGGCCUAACACAUGCAAGUCGAACGGCAGCACAGUAAGAGCUUGCUCUUACGGGUGGCGAGUGGCGGACGGGUGAGGAAUACAUCGGAAUCUACUUUUUCGUGGGGGAUAACGUAGGGAAACUUACGCUAAUACCGCAUACGACCUACGGGUGAAAGCAGGGGAUCUUCGGACCUUGCGCGAUUGAAUGAGCCGAUGUCGGAUUAGCUAGUUGGCGGGGUAAAGGCCCACCAAGGCGACGAUCCGUAGCUGGUCUGAGAGGAUGAUCAGCCACACUGGAACGGAGACACGGUCCAGACUCCUGCGGGAGGCAGCAGUGGGGAAUAUUGGACAGUGGGCGCAAGCCUGAUCCAGCCAUACCGCGUGGGUGAAGAAGGCCUUCGGGUUGUAAAGCCCUUUUGUUGGGAAAGAAAAGCAGCAGGUUAAUACCCCGCUGUUCUGACGGUACCCAAAGAAUAAGCACCGGCUAACUUCGUG
This 492-nucleotide ribosomal RNA is filed under the name uncultured bacterium. RNAcentral describes it as "partial 16S ribosomal RNA". It matches the Rfam family "Bacterial small subunit ribosomal RNA", at positions 29 to 507 of the family's 1533-position model. The record is from RNAcentral.